Molecule: long non-coding RNA, 2162 nt
Organism: Papaver somniferum (opium poppy)
Lineage: Eukaryota; Viridiplantae; Streptophyta; Magnoliopsida; Ranunculales; Papaveraceae
Exons: 10
Source: RefSeq, a predicted model, not a curated record
ACCACUCAUUCCAACUCCUUUUCUCUCUCACUGUGUUUUAUUUCCUUUUCCCCUCUCGACUUCUUUCUGCACCGCUCAAAAGAAACCAGAGUAAUCGGGUAACAGAAAUCGAAAGAAAACUAAUAUCAAUCUAAAACAGAAACUAAACCAAAGUUCUUAACUGAUUUAUGAUUUUUUAAACCUAAAAUCUCAUUUGAAAAACCCUAAUUUACAAAUCAAAAUCUUUGAUUUUGUAAAUUGAUUUUGCUUUUGGAUUGAAACUCUCUGAAGAAGAUUCAAUUGAGAAGUAGAAACCCUAGAAAUCUUUAUCAUCAGAAGAAGAUUGAAGUAAAAUCCUUGAAAAUUCAGAAAUAAGUAUUCUCUCAAGUAUCAUUUAGAAGUACACCUAAUAAACAAGUCAUAUGUACUUUAGUGUCUACAUGGGGAGAAAUCCACCACAUCAUCACAAGUGGUGCUGGAACAUGUAGAAGAAAAUGUGGAUGUUGAUAAUGUAUAUGUAGAAAAUUUAGAGGAGGAAAUUUCUGUUGAGGAACAUGUAGAAGAGAACAUUAGCUAUGAACAAUGUAAGUUAGGAGAUUUUGUCGAUAAUGCCUAUUGAGUAUUUGAAGGGUUAAAUAAGGAUGUAAAUGAAGGUAGUAAGCGAAAAAGGGGUACCACCGUCAACUACAAAGAAGUGGUUAUACGGGCAUUUAAGAUGUGAUGGUGUCCAUCCUAGUGCACUUGAAUAGCGGAAAAGUAUCAAGGGCUCUAGAGAGGAACAAAGGAAAAGGAGAUCAGUCAAGUUCUAGUAAUGUGGUUUCAGCUGAAUUAGAGGAGGUGUUUGGACGAAAACAAGGUUGUGGGAUUCGUGGAUACUCAUCCCAUAUGUCGAAGAAGCAAGUUGGAAUGGAAGAAAUUGCAUAUUAUGCCCUUCAACAAAGAGAUAACGAGAAUGCGCGCUAGCUAAACAAAAUCGAAGCCGAUGUGGGGUUUAUGGGCCGUAAACUGAUUGGUAUUGAAGGUGAAUUGGGGUCCUUGGGCAGCGCAGUGAAGGAGAUGUUGAACUGUAUGAAACGCAAGGAACCUACAUCAUUAGCUCGUGUAGGCACUCCCAUCCCAGAGAAGCGGUCCAAUUCUCACUUAGGUUAUCAACAUGAUCAAAGCUUGGAUCAUGCUGACAGUAUAACCAAUGGACCUCCUUCCUUGAAAGUUGAACUACUAGAUAAUCGAAGAAGGGUUGUUGCAUCAGGAUGUAUUGUUACUAGAUAUUAUGUUCAUUGUAGAAUGGUAAAGCCAACAGAGAAGAGGGUCUAUGUCAAGGAAGUUCAUGAUCAGUCUGCAUUAGUAUGGGAUGUUUUUUUGUACCUUUUCAACAGUUUUUUCCAUUUAUAUAUAUUUUUGGUCUGUUGGGUUUCUGAUAUUCAUUAUGAUGAUGCUCAAACUUGUGUUUUGAUUUUCUUGUUUGAACUGCAGUUGAGGCCAAAGAAAAAGAACAAGUAGAUGCAAUCUUGAAAUAUUGGUGGGUGCAGAGCCGGAGAAUUUGUUUUCUAGCAUAUUAAUUGGUGUAAAACUAAGCCUUUGAAGCAACCCAAGGCACAACAGAAAGUAUAUGAUGAGGGUGUCAUUAUAAGGAAAUCAAGAAAACAGUUGGAUAAGCAUAAUAAUAUUUGAGUGAACAAGUUGUAGCCUUUACAUGCACAUCAAACAUCCACCCGUUGUGUCGUUGCUUUCACAACCACCUGCCUUCCGCCUUAGAGUGAGAGGAAGAUGUGGACAGGCUACUGAUCCACAUAGUAUUUAUGAGCUAGAACGACGUUCUUUGUCAUAUGUGAACCAGAGACACAACACAUGAAUGAUCUACUUGACACUUCACACACACAGAUAUCCACAUUGGGAAAUCUGAGUUAGCUCUUUCAAGAUUUAGCAGCGUAAUUAAACAUUUUUUGAAUGUAUGAAUUGCAAUUCCAAAAAGAACGGCCUGCAAUUUGGUUGUAUUGUAGGCGUGUACACUGGAAUUCCAAGUCCAGGAUGAGGACCAGUAUUACAGGCCGGUAAAGUGGAAGCCCAGGUCCAUGAAAAAUAUAUGGGUGUUGAUGGUGGUUUUUAACUUAGGGUUAAAAUCGUAAAACCUUAGUCAAAUAAUGACGUCACACUUGAGUAAUAAUGUCGCCACUAGCACAUUU